Molecule: unclassified non-coding RNA, 367 nt
Filed under: soil metagenome
Description: partial contains 5.8S ribosomal RNA, internal transcribed spacer 2, and large subunit ribosomal RNA
Rfam family: 5.8S ribosomal RNA (bases 1-120)
Source: RNAcentral
GAUGAAGAACGCAGCGAAAUGCGAUAAGUAAUGUGAAUUGCAGAAUUCAGUGAAUCAUCGAAUCUUUGAACGCACCUUGCGCUCCUUGGUAUUCCGAGGAGCAUGCCUGUUUGAGUGUCAUUAAUAUAUAUCAUCCCUCUUCUUGAGUGGUUUGGAUCUGGGGGUUUGCUGGGCCUUGUGAUUGGUUCAGCUCCCCUGAAAUGCAUUAGCAGAACGACCUGUUCCAUUCAUUGGUGUGAUAACUAUCUACGCUAUCGAGUGUGGGGCGGUUCAGCUUCCUAACAGUCCUCGGACAAUCUAUCAUUUUAUGUGACCGCAAAUCAGGUAGGACUACCCGCUGAACUUAAGCAUAUCAAUAAGCGGAGGA